GACGAACGCUGGCGGCGUGCUUAACACAUGCAAGUCGAACGGAAAGGCCCUGCUUUUGUGGGGUGCUCGAGUGGCGAACGGGUGGGUAACACGUGAGUAACCUGCCCUUGACUUUGGGAUAACUUCAGGAAACUGGGGCUAAUACCGGAUAGGAGCUCCUGCUGCAUGGUGGGGGUUGGAAAGUUUCGGCGGUUGGGGAUGGACUCGCGGCUUAUCAGCUUGUUGGUGGGGUAGUGGCUUACCAAGGCUUUGACGGGUAGCCGGCCUGAGAGGGUGACCGGCCACAUUGGGACUGAGAUACGGCCCAGACUCCUACGGGAGGCAGCAGUGGGGAAUAUUGCACAAUGGACGGAAGCCUGAUGCAGCAACGCCGCGUGCGGGAUGACGGCCUUCGGGUUGUAAACCGCUUUCGCCUGUGACGAAGCGUGAGUGACGGUAAUGGGUAAAGAAGCACCGGCUAACUACGUG
Molecule: ribosomal RNA, 468 nt
Filed under: uncultured bacterium
Lineage: Bacteria
Description: partial 16S ribosomal RNA
Rfam family: Bacterial small subunit ribosomal RNA
Source: RNAcentral